Molecule: transfer RNA, 66 nt
Filed under: Nycteribia parvula
Lineage: Eukaryota; Metazoa; Arthropoda; Insecta; Diptera; Nycteribiidae
Description: tRNA-Ala
Rfam family: tRNA
About the family: Transfer RNA (tRNA) molecules are approximately 80 nucleotides in length. Their secondary structure includes four short double-helical elements and three loops (D, anti-codon, and T loops). Further hydrogen bonds mediate the characteristic L-shaped molecular structure. tRNAs have two regions of fundamental functional importance: the anti-codon, which is responsible for specific mRNA codon recognition, and the 3' end, to which the tRNAs corresponding amino acid is attached (by aminoacyl-tRNA synthetases). tRNAs cope with the degeneracy of the genetic code in two manners: having more than one tRNA (with a specific anti-codon) for a particular amino acid; and 'wobble' base-pairing, i.e. permitting non-standard base-pairing at the 3rd anti-codon position.
Source: RNAcentral
AGGGUUGAAGUUUUAAACAUUUGAUUUGCAAUCAAAAAUUAUUGAAUUAAUUUUCAAUCUACCUUA